Molecule: long non-coding RNA, 1430 nt
Organism: Brienomyrus brachyistius
Lineage: Eukaryota; Metazoa; Chordata; Actinopteri; Osteoglossiformes; Mormyridae
Exons: 2
Source: RefSeq, a predicted model, not a curated record
GCUUAAAUUCCAGGUGGCCUGAGACAAGGCCUACCCUGGUACGAGAAGGCACACAUCGACCUAGGCCCCAAAGGGGGGUUUGUGACCCCACACACAUAGAUAACCAGGGAGGCCAGCACUCCAACUUUUAUUGCCCAAAGCUUUAACGACCUACAGAUAGCAGAGUGGAUCCCCAGGGACAGGGGCCCCUCGACUUGGCACACAACCCCAUCCCCCGACGUCCUGCCUUACAUACCACUCACCGAACAGACCAACACCCCAAAGAAAGUUUCUUUUAAGUUUGGCUUUUGUAUAUCUGUAUAUGUAUUUACUCUUGACUACUAGUCUUAAUAUACAGAUAUGUACAGGUUAUGUUCGAAUGUGUCUUAACUUUUGGAGAUUCUUUUUCUUUGUUUGACAAACCUUCUCCCCCCCCCUUUUUCUUUGCCACAUUCCUCGGCAACCCUUAUCUGAUCUUUGUAUUCUACCAUGCCUAUCUAAGGGUAAGAUGUGCUUAUGACAUGAGAAUAUGUCAUAUAAUGUCUGUAUAAAGGGUAAUAUCUGUUGAGGUACAACCUAAACCACCUGUACCAUAUACUGGUGUGAGUAAUAGAACAUAACAUAAUAGCAUAAUAUAAGUAAUCAUUAAUUAAUCAUCACAGAUGGUAUUUGGUGUGAACCGCUGGGCUGGUACGGCAUGUUUGGUAUCAAACCGAAGGAAAAUCACUCCAGUUUCCAAAUCUGGUCAGUGGUUACCACAAAAGUGGACGUAUCAAAAGUUACACCAGCCUAAUGAAAAUCACCAUUACCAGAGAAGUCAGUCUGGUCAUAAAUCCCAAAAAGACUGAUACCGACCCCCUUCCGAAGCCCGCCAAAUGGAUGGUCAGCCAUUGGUCCAGGACUCAAAUUCCUGGUCACUCCUAAUCACGAACCUUAUGCUAUAAAACCUGGCACCUCAGAACAGAGAAAGGCGGAGAAAAAGAGAAGAACACGGAGAAACAAGCAGCGUUCUUAAAGCCCGUCGGUGAAGACCCAAAGAACUGCAACUCAGCCCAAGCUUCACCAGAAGAAAGAACCGGAGGGACUCCACUCCAACAACCGCUGCAAACACCGCGCCUCCCUGAGAGCCAUCACCCAUCAGCUCAUCAGCCACUGCAACCAACUGCAAAGACCUCCCUCUUUCCUGCAUCCAAGUAAACCAACUUCCUUUCCUUUCUAACAACCUGAACUGUCCUAUUCACCUGCUAUAUUCCUUUAGGUUUAUAAUCCUUACAAACUGCUUGCUUUGCAGAACAGUUUUUCCCUUUUCAGGUUAAUCAUUUUAAAUCUGGUCAUUGCAUUUUCAUGAUUACAUCGUUUGUGUCUAUUCCGUUAUUUCAUGUUUAUUGUUUGUUAGGUGUAAUGUCUGUCUUAUGUUAGUUGUAGGAAUAAAUGCAUGUCUUUUUACACAA